This 4093-nucleotide long non-coding RNA is filed under the name Sus scrofa (pig). RNAcentral describes it as "lncRNA (ENSSSCG00015017489.1)". The record is from RNAcentral. Lineage: Eukaryota; Metazoa; Chordata; Mammalia; Artiodactyla; Suidae.
UUAGAGGCAGGUAUGUAGGUGAUGGAAGAUGAGGUCUUACCUAAAUAGGAUUUUAUUCUUUAAUCUUUGGAUUUCUGAAAUAGCAUGCAGAAUUCACGUGACAAAGAGAGAGAAUGCAGGACUGUACACUGUUGGGAGAAGAAUUAGAUUUAUUGGAAGUUACCUAAUUAAAAGUAUAAAGAAUUUAGGUUUUCUCCCUUGUGAUACAAUUAGGCAGUGGCUCUAUGAUUCAUAAAGCAGCUCAUUUUAGGGGAAACACUGUUUUCAAGGGAAUAUUUCUGUUGUGACCAGAAAGAUUUUGUGUUUCUUGGACUCGCUAGCCUUGAAAUGCCCUAGUUAUUGACCAAAGGAGAGAAUGUUUGCUUUCAUACUACAGACCCUUGUGGUCCUUCUCUGUAUUGAUUUCCCCCUUCUCUAGCCUAUGUUGAGCUUUGAAAUCAGUAAGAACACUAGUAUAUCAUGUAUUCACAGUCCGGAAUUCUUGCACUAAGGGGAUAUGUCUGCUGAAUAACUGUAGAAGAUAGUUUAUAAGUUGUUAGUUUUUAGUUAUGGGCUGAAUUAAGAGCCCCCCCUCCCAAUUCAUAUGUUAACCCUCCAGUUGUGACUGUAUCUCAAGACAGUCUUUAUGAGGUGAUUAAAGUUAACUGAGAUCACAGGAUGGGGCCCUAAUGUGACAGAAUUGGUGGCUUUAUAUGAAGAGGAAUCUCUCUCCACUCUCCUUCCCCCGGCCACCACGUGAGGACAAAGCAACAAGGCAGAAGGCAGCCAUCUGUAAGCCAAGAAGAGAACCUAGCUAGAACCUAACUAUGCUGACACUCUGAUCUUGGAUUCCUAGCCUCUAGGACAAAUAAAUGACUAUUUCUUAAGCCACAUGGGCUCUAUUUUAUUAUGGCAGCCUGAACUGACCAUACAGUAUUAAACAAAAUUACUUCUGACCUGCACUGUUUCCUCUUAUUUUCAUUUUCUUUGAUACAUAUUCCUUUGUCUAGCAAUAAGGUCUCCCUGUUGAGAGCAUGGACGAUGGUAUGAUAAUUUUGCCUGGUUUGGUUUUAUUCCAGACCGUCUUAUAAAGGCAAGAAGCUAUGUUUCAGUUGACCUCUAGAAUUUUAUUUGCAGAACAAUUUCCGGGUGGCAUAAGACCGUAUUCACUGGUGAAAUAUGGUUCUUGUUUCUGGCAAAAUUUGCAAAAUUGCUCCAGGUGCAGGGUGAGUUCUUUUGCCUAGGGAGAGGAGAAAUUUCACAGGUUUCAUUUUGUGAAACUUAAUUCAUGCCUCUAAAAAACUAUAAAAUAUGGAGACUAAAUAUAGUCUGUCAAGGGUAUGAAAUGUGAAUGAACAGCAGCAGAAACCAAAUUUGUAGAAGAGAAAAUGAUCUGAACCAGAAGCUUUGGGCUUAUUUAAAUUCUCCACGUUACAUUCCCAGACAUCUGCCUGAACAACAGAAUGAAAUUCCUGAUUAUGGAAAUGGGAGGACGCAAGUGUGGGGCCUGCUUGUCUCUGGGCUUUCAGGCAGGCGUUGUCGCAGGUUUAAUGGACCUUUUCUCUGGCCGUGGAUUGUCAGUCAAAGCACUGUCAGAGGAGUGACUUCUGAUGGGAAACUGCAGGAACCUUUGGGGAGGGGGAGGGUCAGAACUCCCUCAGAAGAGGAGCAGCCCUGGCUCUGCACGCUUUGCCCACCCACCCUCAGCUUUAACACCUUUCACUUCAUUGCUCACGAUGUGAUCGACCACAGGGUGACUGUUUACGUUUGGAUUCAGAUUGUUUCUGAAACGUAUAUCAGGUCAAUCGUGCACUAUUUGCAUCCUAGAAAAGAAAGCAGAGCAAAGCAAAGUGACAAGCCUUUAGCUCCCACCCAGGGAGGAGUUCCUGAUGGAGGGUUUUAGGUUAAGGUCAAUCUGGAUGGGGCAAAGGGUGAGCAUAUUUGCAGGUAUGAAACUUAGUCCAUCAAGGAAGCUCCCGUCGAACCACAAGGUUGAAAUACUCCUUUACACUGAGGUUGUAUUUAAUUUCAGGGCCUUAUUUAGUGCUGAAGAUAAUCCAAAGCGCUCAUAUAUGAUACAGGCGGUCCUCUAUCUUUAUUAGUGUUUAGGUUGAUCUUUCCCAUCUGAUUUUCAGUGGAGUCCACCAGGGACCUAUUCUGAAGUUGCUUGGGGUCCGGAUCUCCCUGGUUUCACCAUCGUGACCCUUUCAGGGGCACGAGUCAUGCUGCUGUGCCCAUGGAGCAUGGGCUGUGAAGCCUGGGGGCCCUCUGCAGCCCUUCAUUGCCUCCCUGCUGUGCCAAGGCACUCAGGAAUCACUCCCCUGCUCCCUGGGGCUGUGCAGGCUUGUGUGCCAAGGCACAUCAUCAGGAUAUCUGUGCUCAGAUGUCUUUCUGCUUUUCUGAUUAAAAGAUGGGCAUCAGUCCCCUCUGAAUUCAGAUCCCCCAGACCAACCUGAUAUGUCUUCUGACUCUGCCCCAUGUCUGGACUUCCAGUUCAUAAUUCCCCCUCCUAAUUCUCAACUCUGGUAACCCAGGAUAACUAUUCAUUAUUUGCUGCCCCUCUGACUCCCCUCCCCUGAAGCUCUGCCAACAACCAAUCUUGAUACCUGUGGAUUCUUUAAUCCUGAUCUUUCCAGAGUUUAGUCCUCUUUGUCAGUCAAAGACUUUCCUCUAUGCUUUGUAAGAGCACCCUUACACAGGCGCCGGCAGUAUAGAUGCCUCAUAAUUGAGCUAAUAAAUUAUCGUCUUGCUACAUCAUCCUGUCUUACGUUCAUUUUUUUCAAAUGAAUGAGGUGGAUGCCAUCUACCAAAGUAACUCCCAUCAGUUUUCCAAGUUCCCUCUAAAAGGCUACCCCAGGUUUGGAGAAAGAGCAGAAGUUCUGUUCCUUAGUACAGUACAGGACGACAUUCAGCGUGGUCGUCCUGAUCUGUCUCCCAUCCUCCCUCCCUCUCCACUGAUUUUCCCAAGUGCCCAUUAAGACCCAGGUCCCUCUCCUGCUGUGGCUCCUCUCCUCUUCUCACUGGUGGGUCAGUGGCCAGGGAAAUACCUUCUUUAUCCAGAGCCCUCGGGUAACAAUCCAUUUCGUAUAAACAUUAAUUUUCCGAGCUAUUGAAGCUUGCCUGUUUAGGUGAAAACUUUCAAAAGCUGUAAUGGCUUUGAGUAGAAAGUUUCUCAAAAUCCUUUGCAUUGUUUCCUAUCUUUGAAAACAUCAAUUCAAAUUCUUGUCUCUUUCCCUUGUGAUAUGUUAAAUCAUAUAUAUAGCAAGAGCAUAUGUUGAGUCAUAUAUAUAGAGAGAGAGAGCAUCCGUCUUACUUUAGAGACUCAGAUACAAAGAUGAAUACAGUACAGCUCUUGCCAUUUAAAGAGCUUGAGGGCAAAUUGGGACAAAGAUACAGAAGGCAAAUUGCUACAGUCCAGAGCAAAGGAGACUAUAUGAGGGCUGUAAACAGGGCAUGGAUGGGGCAUUGGUGGUACAGAGAAGUAGCAGCAACUCUGCCAAAAUGAGUGAUGAGGUGCCAGGAUAGGCUUCUCACAGGGCUGGUAAUCUGCUAUUAGGGAUUCUGCCCUCCCCAGAGAGUCCAGACUAGUCUGCAUUUUGAGUUCUCCUAUCUGACUGCUAUGGCAUUUCCGUUUUUCCUAUGGCAGCCAGACUGUCAGCUGUCACCCUUGCUCCUAGCAGACUCUUUCCCUCUUAAUUUGCAUUUCUAAUCAUCUGUGAGCUGGGAAGCCUUGUAACCAAGCCCCUUAGUACCAGCUCCCCCUUGGAGUAAAUAUGCUCUCAGCAAGCCUCUGGGGAGGCUCUAUUAAGAUAAUGGACAAGAAGUUGUUUGAUUGCUUAUUUUGAUUAGACUAUCUUGACCUUGAUUGCUUUGCUCUUUUUUCCUGGUUCUUAGUUGGCUUGUAGGUUUGGUAGAUAAGCAACCUCUAAAUAAAAUGAAUCAUUUUAGGGUUUUUAAUCUAAAGGAAUUAUUAAUACCUCUACUUAAUGGGCAUCUAUUAUAUGCCAGAUUCUUUAUCUUUAUUAUUUCAUUAACCCUCACAAUAGCACUUCAAUGUAAGUAAAAAUGAUCCCUAUUUUAUGAAAAAAAAAUAUUUUAUGAAAAAAAAAAAAAA